RNAcentral lists this ribosomal RNA (617 nucleotides) under uncultured Methanosaeta sp. RNAcentral describes it as "bacterial SSU rRNA". It matches the Rfam family "Archaeal small subunit ribosomal RNA", at positions 83 to 704 of the family's 1478-position model. Lineage: Archaea; Methanobacteriati; Methanobacteriota; Methanomicrobia; Methanotrichales; Methanotrichaceae. The record is from RNAcentral.
CGGCUCAGUAACACGUGGAUAACCUACCCUUGAGUUGGGAGUAAACCCGGGAAACUGGGUAUAAUACCCGAUAGAUCUCGACUGCUGGAAUGCAUCGAGAUCCAAAGCUCCGGCGCUCAAGGAUGGAUCUGCGGCCUAUCAGGUAGUAGUGGGUGUAGCGUACCUACUAGCCUACGACGGGUACGGGUUGUGAGAGCAAGAGCCCGGAGAUGGAUUCUGAGACACGAAUCCAGGCCCUACGGGGUGCAGCAGGCGCGAAAACUUUACAAUGCUGGAAACAGCGAUAAGGGGACCUCGAGUGCCAGGUUACAAAUCUGGCUGUCGUGAUGCCUAAAAAGCAUUGCAUAGCAAGGGCCGGGCAAGACCGGUGCCAGCCGCCGCGGUAACACCGGCGGCUCGAGUGGUAACCGUUAUUAUUGGGUCUAAAGGGUCUGUAGCCGGCCGGAUAAGUCUCUUGGGAAAUCUGGCAGCUUAACUGUCAGGCUUUCAGGAGAUACUGUCUGGCUCGAGGCCGGGAGAGGUGAGAGGUACUUCAGGGGUAGGGGUGAAAUCUUGUAAUCCUUGAAGGACCACCAGUGGCGAAGGCGUCUCACCAGAACGGACCUGACGGCAAGGGA